UACGGAGGAUGCAAGCGUUAUCCGGAAUUAUUGGGCGUAAAGCGUCCGCAGGUGGUUAUCCAAGUCUGCUGUUAAAGCGCGAGGCUUAACUUCGUACAGGCAGUGGAAACUGGAUGACUAGAGUAUGGUAGGGGUCGCGGGAAUUCCCAGUGUAGCGGUGAAAUGCGUAGAUAUCAGGAAGAACACCGGUGGCGAAAGCGCUCUACUAGGCCGCAACUGACACUGAGGGACGAAAGCUAGGGGAGCGAAUGGG
Molecule: ribosomal RNA, 253 nt
Filed under: uncultured prokaryote
Description: partial 16S ribosomal RNA
Rfam family: Bacterial small subunit ribosomal RNA
Source: RNAcentral